GAUGAGCCCGCGGCGGAUUAGCUUGUUGGUGGGGUAACGGCCUACCAAGGCGACGAUCCGUAGCUGGUCUGAGAGGACGAUCAGCCACACUGGGACUGAGACACGGCCCAGACUCCUACGGGAGGCAGCAGUGGGGAAUCUUGCGCAAUGGGCGAAAGCCUGACGCAGCGACGCCGCGUGAGGGAAGAAGGCCUUCGGGUUGUAAACCUCUUUCAGGAGGGACGAAGCCACUCGGGUUAAUAGCCCAGAGGGUGACGGUACCUCCAGAAGAAGCCCCGGCUAACUACGUGCCAGCAGCCGCGGUAAUACGUAGGGGGCUAGCGUUGUCCGGAUUUAUUGGGCGUAAAGAGCGUGUAGGCGGCCAGGUAGGUCCGUUGUGAAAACUGGAGGCUUAACCUCCAGCUGUCGAUGGAAACCAUCUGGCUAGAGUCCGGAAGAGGAGAGUGGAAUUCCUGGUGUAGCGGUGAAAUGCGCAGAUAUCAGGAAGAACACCCGUGGCGAAGGCGGCUCUCUGGGACGGUACUGACGCUGAGACGCGAAAGCGUGGGGAGCGAACAGGAUUAGAUACCCUGGUAGUCCACGCCGUAAACGAUGGGUGCUAGGUGU
This 606-nucleotide ribosomal RNA is filed under the name uncultured soil bacterium. RNAcentral describes it as "bacterial SSU rRNA". It matches the Rfam family "Bacterial small subunit ribosomal RNA", at positions 224 to 823 of the family's 1533-position model. The record is from RNAcentral.